AGUAGAUCCAAUUUUUUGAGUUUUUUAUAGCAACAAUAUAGAUCUUCUUCUCUAUCAACAUUCGGCCUAUCUUCUCUUCUACCACUUUGUUCCACAGAUCUCCGUGAAAGAUAAGAUUCUUUCAAGAGAUACAACUACCACCUCAACUCCUUGGACCGCCGUAAUUCCUUACACCACCACCACUGUAGCUCUCUGCACCGCUACUCCAGAACUCCUUUCACCACCACCACCGGAACACCUUAACCACCACCGUCGGAACUUACACCACCACCGAUGCAACUCCUUACACCAUCACCGCCGGAACUCCUUGCACCGCCACUUGCAACUCCUUUCCAGUCACCGUCGCAACUCCUUGUAGCCGGAGCCUUCACAUCAACACCGGCCAUCGAAGCACCGUAUAUUAAAAUAGUUUUAUUUUUAUUUUAUAGAUUUUUAUAAUUAAUUUUGUAUAUGUAACAUAUAUUUGAUAGUUUAAUAUUAUUUGAAUUCAAUUUCUA
Long non-coding RNA from Raphanus sativus (radish), 497 nucleotides. RefSeq lists it as uncharacterized. The record is from RefSeq and is a predicted model, not a curated record. The transcript is spliced from 2 exons. Lineage: Eukaryota; Viridiplantae; Streptophyta; Magnoliopsida; Brassicales; Brassicaceae.